This 481-nucleotide unclassified non-coding RNA is filed under the name Hevea brasiliensis (rubber tree). Lineage: Eukaryota; Viridiplantae; Streptophyta; Magnoliopsida; Malpighiales; Euphorbiaceae. The record is from RNAcentral.
GGGAUCGAUAGACACGUCAACGAGGGCAGAAAGCGGGUCGGACCCAAUCCCAACCCCUAAUGGCACCACCAAUGGGCUGCACGCCGGUGAAGAUUCCGUCCAGACGCCGGCCGUGGACUCCACCGGAGCUUCGGCAGAGAACGAAUCCUUGAGGAAGAGGAGAGGUAGUGGUGUCCUACCCCUCGAGGUGGGUACUCGAGUAAUGUGCCGCUGGAGAGACGGCAAGUACCAUCCUGUUAAGGUCAUUGAACGCCGGAAAUUUCCAUGCGGCGGUGUUAAUGACUACGAAUACUAUGUUCAUUACACUGAAUUCAACCGGAGACUUGAUGAGUGGGUUAAACUUGAACAACUUGAUCUUAACUCAGUAGAGACCGUUGUGGAUGAGAAGGUCGAGGACAAGGUGACAAGUUUAAAAAUGACUCGCCACCAGAAACGGAAAAUUGACGAGACUCAUGUCGAGGGCCAUGAGGAGCUUGAUGCU